This 305-nucleotide ribosomal RNA is filed under the name uncultured bacterium. Its description in RNAcentral is "bacterial SSU rRNA". It matches the Rfam family "Bacterial small subunit ribosomal RNA", at positions 333 to 654 of the family's 1533-position model. The record is from RNAcentral.
CGGGUCCUACGGGGGGCAGCAGUGGGGAAUAUUGCACAAUGGGGGAAACCCUGAUGCAGCGACGCCGCGUGGGUGAAGAAGUAUUUCGGUACGUAAAGCUCUAUCAGCAGGGAAGAAUAAUGACGGUACCUGACUAAGAAGCCCCGGCUAACUACGUGCCAGCAGCCGCGGUAAUACGUAGGAGGCAAGCGUUAUCCGGAUUUACUGGGUGUAAAGGGAGCGUAGACGGCGGUGCAAGUCUGAAGUGAAAGGCCGGGGCCCAACCCCGGAACUGCUUUGGAAACUGUACAGCUAGAGUGCAGGAG